RNAcentral lists this ribosomal RNA (492 nucleotides) under uncultured bacterium. Its description in RNAcentral is "partial 16S ribosomal RNA". It matches the Rfam family "Bacterial small subunit ribosomal RNA", at positions 29 to 507 of the family's 1533-position model. The record is from RNAcentral.
AGUGAACGCUGGCGGUAGGCUUAACACAUGCAAGUCGAACGGCAGCACAGUUAGAGCUUGCUCUUACGGGUGGCGAGUGGCGGACGGGUGAGGAAUACAUCGGAACCUACUUUUUCGUGGGGGAUAACGUAGGGAAACUUACGCUAAUACCGCAUACGACCUACGGGUGAAAGCAGGGGAUCUUCGGACCUUGCGCGAUUGAAUGAGCCGAUGUCGGAUUAGCUGGUUGGCGGGGUAAAGGCCCACCAAGGCGAGGAUCCGUAGCUGGUCUGAGAGGAUGGUCAGCCGCACUAGAACGUGGACAAGGUCCAGAAUCCUAAGAGAGGCAGCAGUGGGGAAUAUUGGACAAUGGGCGCAAGCAUGAUCCAGCCAUACCGCGUGGGUGAAGAAGGCCUUCUGGUUGUAAAGCCCUUUUGUUGGGAAAGAAAAGCAGCAGGUUAAUACCCCGCUGUUCUGACGGUACCCAAAGAAUAAGCACCGGCUAACUUCGUG